UACGAAGGGGGCUAGCGUUGUUCGGAAUUACUGGGCGUAAAGCGUAUGCAGGCGGAUCGCUAAGUCAGGGGUGAAAUCCCCGGCUCAACUGGGGAGGGUCACGCGAUACUGUUCGACUCGAAGGCAGGAGAGGGUAGUGGAAUUCCCGGUGUAGUGGUGAAAUGCGUAGAUAUCGGGAGGAGCACCAGUGGCGAAGGCGACUACCUGGCCUGUUCUUGACGCUGAGGCGCGAAAGCUAGGGGAGCAAACGGG
This 252-nucleotide ribosomal RNA is filed under the name uncultured bacterium. Its description in RNAcentral is "partial 16S ribosomal RNA". It matches the Rfam family "Bacterial small subunit ribosomal RNA", at positions 524 to 776 of the family's 1533-position model. The record is from RNAcentral.